This 506-nucleotide ribosomal RNA is filed under the name uncultured bacterium. Its description in RNAcentral is "partial 16S ribosomal RNA". It matches the Rfam family "Bacterial small subunit ribosomal RNA", at positions 30 to 523 of the family's 1533-position model. The record is from RNAcentral.
AUUGAACGCUGGCGGCAGGCCUAACACAUGCAAGUCGAACGGUAACAGGAAACAGCUUGCUGUUUCGCUGACGAGUGGCGGACGGGUGAGUAAUGUCUGGGAAACUGCCUGAUGGAGGGGGAUAACUACUGGAAACGGUAGCUAAUACCGCAUAACGUCGCAAGACCAAAGAGGGGGACCUUCGGGCCUCUUGCCAUCGGAUGUGCCCAGAUGGGAUUAGCUAGUAGGUGGGGUAACGGCUCACCUAGGCGACGAUCCCUAGCUGGUCUGAGGGGAUGACCAGCCACACUGGAACGGAGACACGGUCCAGACGCCUACGGGAGGCAGCAGUGGGGAAUAUUGCACAAUGGGCGCAAGCCUGAUGCAGCCAUGCCGCGUGUAUGAAGAAGGCCUUCGGGUUGUAAAGUACUUUCAGCGGGGAGGAAGGGAGUAAAGUCAAUACCUUUGCUCAUUGACGCUACCCGCAGAAGAAGCACCGGCUAACUCCGUGCCAGCAGCCGCCGUAA